GGGACGGGUGAGUAACACGUGGGUAACCUACCUAUAAGACUGGGAUAACUUCGGGAAACCGGAGCUAAUACCGGAUAAUAUUUCGAACCGCAUGGUUCGAUAGUGAAAGAUGGUUUUGCUAUCACUUAUAGAUGGACCCGCGCCGUAUUAGCUAGUUGGUAAGGUAACGGCUUACCAAGGCGACGAUACGUAGCCGACCUGAGAGGGUGAUCGGCCACACUGGAACUGAGACACGGUCCAGACUCCUACGGGAGGCAGCAGAG
Molecule: ribosomal RNA, 263 nt
Filed under: uncultured Staphylococcus sp.
Lineage: Bacteria; Bacillati; Bacillota; Bacilli; Caryophanales; Staphylococcaceae
Description: partial 16S ribosomal RNA
Rfam family: Bacterial small subunit ribosomal RNA
Source: RNAcentral